AUAUAAGAAAAAAAAAUUAUUUUAAUUUAUUAUAAUUUUUUCCAUUAUUUUUAAUUAAGCAGUCACAUGUAAUAUUCAUAAAAAAAUGCUUACUGAAAUCUGCUCAGAGUUAUUUCAAUUGUGAAGUACAAGUUAUUUAUAAAAAUUAACAAUCAACCAAUUGAUUGUAUAACUAUUUUCAAACUAAUUAAUCACUAUUUUCAAACUAAUUAAUCACAAUUUAUUAUGAUUUAAAUGGAGAGAAGCCCAUUCCAACCUUGUAGUACGAAUGGGAUCAGAAGCUUAC
RNAcentral lists this unclassified non-coding RNA (286 nucleotides) under Hevea brasiliensis (rubber tree). Lineage: Eukaryota; Viridiplantae; Streptophyta; Magnoliopsida; Malpighiales; Euphorbiaceae. The record is from RNAcentral.